CUAGCGACUUCAGAGUUUGAUCCUGGCUCAGGAUGAACGCUGGCGGCGUGCAUAACACAUUCAAGUCGAACGGUGACGGGGGCUUCGGCCCCUGAUCAGUGGCGGACGGGUGAGUAACGCGUGAGUAACCUGCCUAUGCGUGUGGAAUAACACAGGGAAACUUGUGCUAAUACCGCAUAAUAUGUAUUUUUCGCAUGUAAGAUACAUCAAAGAGCAAUUGCGCAUAGAUGGACUCGCGUCUGAUUAGAUAGUUGGUGGGGUAACGGCCUACCAAGUCGACGAUCAGUAGCCGAACUGAGAGGUUGAACGGCCACAUUGGAACUGAGAAACGGUCCAG
This 337-nucleotide ribosomal RNA is filed under the name uncultured bacterium. RNAcentral's name for it is "bacterial SSU rRNA". It matches the Rfam family "Bacterial small subunit ribosomal RNA", at positions 1 to 334 of the family's 1533-position model. The record is from RNAcentral.